Molecule: ribosomal RNA, 254 nt
Filed under: uncultured bacterium
Lineage: Bacteria
Description: partial 16S ribosomal RNA
Rfam family: Bacterial small subunit ribosomal RNA
Source: RNAcentral
UACGAAGGGGGCUAGCGUUGCUCGGAAUCACUGGGCGUAAAGGGUGCGUAGGCGGGUCUUUUAAGUCAGGGGUGAAAUCCUGGAGCUCAACUCCAGAACUGCCUUUGAUACUGGGGAUCUUGAGUUCGGGAGAGGUGAGUGGAACUGCGAGUGUAGAGGUGAAAUUCGUAGAUAUUCGCAAGAACACCAGUGGCGAAGGCGGCUCACUGGCCCGAUACUGACGCUGAGGCACGAAAGCGUGGGGAGCAAACAGG